Molecule: ribosomal RNA, 92 nt
Filed under: Melghirimyces algeriensis
Lineage: Bacteria; Bacillati; Bacillota; Bacilli; Caryophanales; Thermoactinomycetaceae
Source: RNAcentral
CACCCGUUCCCAUCCCGAACACGGAAGUUAAGCCCUCCAGCGCCGAUGGUACUUGGGGCGCAGGCCCCUGGGAGAGUAGGACGUUGCCAGGC